Molecule: long non-coding RNA, 672 nt
Organism: Oncorhynchus gorbuscha (pink salmon)
Lineage: Eukaryota; Metazoa; Chordata; Actinopteri; Salmoniformes; Salmonidae
Exons: 3
Source: RefSeq, a predicted model, not a curated record
UUACACAUGGCCUUUCAUAAAUGCCCUGCCUUAACUUACUCCCUCGUGCCCCGUCUCCCUCCCUCGCUACGUUUUCCUCGCACUUCACAGUUCAGCUACGAAAUGUAAUGGAUUCAAGCAUUCAACAGCAGUCAGCAACCUAGAUGACGGGGUAAAAAAUGUGAUGUUUUAGCUAGUUAGUCUCACACCGCACAAUUUGAUACCCAAAAUCUUUGGAUUGAUAAAUAAUGUGCCAUGCUCUACACAGUUGAUACUUGAGUCAAACACAAAUAGAAAACAUAAUAAAAAAAGGUUCAUUCUUAAACGUUUAAAAUAUAAGUUAUACUCACAAACACAUUAUUGCACAAAAAUGAACACCUCCUUUAUCCAUAGCUCUAUAUGCUUUGUACAAUUAUCUGUGGUUUUGCCUCCAUCUAGUGGGUCAAUGCUGUACUGCAGGGCCAAAUGUCUCAUCACGUGGCUUUAAGACCUAUGGUUUACCAUUAUCCAAUGGUGCAGCGUCAAGUUGAAAAAAAUAUCUAGAAAUCCAUGAUGGAGGCGUCUUCUCGUGAUCAAGCUGGUGGAGGUCUGUUGAACUGUCCUAGAAGGACCCAGUACAGCAAGAAGAUUCAGGACAUUCUGAAAUUAAUGAUGCAAGAGUCGAGACUCACCAACUUCCAGCAAAGACAGCUC